This 468-nucleotide ribosomal RNA is filed under the name uncultured bacterium. Its description in RNAcentral is "partial 16S ribosomal RNA". It matches the Rfam family "Bacterial small subunit ribosomal RNA", at positions 28 to 507 of the family's 1533-position model. The record is from RNAcentral.
GACGAACGCUGGCGGCGUGCUUAACACAUGCAAGUCGAACGGAAAGGCCCUGCUUUUGUGGGGUGCUCGAGUGGCGAACGGGUGAGUAACACGUGAGUAACCUGCCCUUGACUUUGGGAUAACUUCAGGAAACUGGGGCUAAUACCGGAUAGGAGCUCCUGCUGCAUGGUGGGGGUUGGAAAGUUUCGGCGGUUGGGGAUGGACUCGCGGCUUAUCAGCUUGUUGGUGGGGUAGUGGCGUACCAAGGCUUUGACGGGUAGCCGGCCUGAGAGGGUGACCGGCCACAUGGGGACUGAGAUACGGCCCAGACUCCUACGGGAGGCAGCAGUGGGGAAUAUUGCACAAUGGGCGGAAGCCUGAGGCAGCAACGCCGCGUGCGGGAUGACGGCCUUCGGGUUGUAAACCGCUUUCGCCUGUGACGAAGCGUGAGUGACGGUAAUGGGUAAAGAAGCACCGGCUAACUACGUG